CAGAGUAUAGUUUAAUUUAGAAUUCUAGCUUUGGGAGCUAGUGGUGGGAGUUAAAAUCUCCUUUCUCUGA
RNAcentral lists this transfer RNA (70 nucleotides) under Solivomer arenidens. RNAcentral describes it as "tRNA-Pro". It matches the Rfam family "tRNA". Rfam says of the family: Transfer RNA (tRNA) molecules are approximately 80 nucleotides in length. Their secondary structure includes four short double-helical elements and three loops (D, anti-codon, and T loops). Further hydrogen bonds mediate the characteristic L-shaped molecular structure. tRNAs have two regions of fundamental functional importance: the anti-codon, which is responsible for specific mRNA codon recognition, and the 3' end, to which the tRNAs corresponding amino acid is attached (by aminoacyl-tRNA synthetases). tRNAs cope with the degeneracy of the genetic code in two manners: having more than one tRNA (with a specific anti-codon) for a particular amino acid; and 'wobble' base-pairing, i.e. permitting non-standard base-pairing at the 3rd anti-codon position. Lineage: Eukaryota; Metazoa; Chordata; Actinopteri; Myctophiformes; Neoscopelidae. The record is from RNAcentral.